Molecule: ribosomal RNA, 548 nt
Filed under: Glomus sp.
Lineage: Eukaryota; Fungi; Glomeromycota; Glomeromycetes; Glomerales; Glomeraceae
Also listed under: 2 other names
Description: SSU rRNA
Rfam family: Eukaryotic small subunit ribosomal RNA
Source: RNAcentral
UUGGAGGGCAAGUCUGGUGCCAGCAGCCGCGGUAAUUCCAGCUCCAAUAGCGUAUAUUAAAGUUGUUGCAGUUAAAAAGCUCGUAGUUGAAUUUCGGGAUCAAUUUGUUGGUCGUGCCUCGGUACGUACUGGCAUUAUUGGUUUCUACCUUCUGAAGAACCUUGAUGUCAUUAAUUUGGUGUCUUGGGGAAUCAGGACUGUUACUUUGAAAAAAUUAGAGUGUUUAAAGCAGGCAUACGCUUGAAUACAUUAGCAUGGAAUAAUGAAAUAGGACGUUUGAUUCUAUUUUGUUGGUUUCUAGGAUCGACGUAAUGAUUAAUAGGGAUAGUUGGGGGCAUUAGUAUUCAAUUGUCAGAGGUGAAAUUCUUGGAUUUAUUGAAGACUAACUACUGCGAAAGCAUUUGCCAAGGAUGUUUUCAUUAAUCAAGAACGAAAGUUAGGGGAUCGAAGACGAUCAGAUACCGUCGUAGUCUUAACCAUAAACUAUGCCGACUAGGGAUCGGAUGAUGUUAAUUUUUUAAUGACUCAUUCGGCGCCUUACGGGAAAC